This 468-nucleotide ribosomal RNA is filed under the name uncultured bacterium. RNAcentral's name for it is "partial 16S ribosomal RNA". It matches the Rfam family "Bacterial small subunit ribosomal RNA", at positions 28 to 507 of the family's 1533-position model. The record is from RNAcentral.
GACGAACGCUGGCGGCGUGCUUAACACAUGCAAGUCGAACGGAAAGGCCCUGCUUUUGUGGGGUGCUCGAGUGGCGAACGGGUGAGUAACACGUGAGUAACCUGCCCUUGACUUUGGGAUAACUUCAGGAAACUGGGGCUAAUACCGGAUAGGAGCUCCUGCUGCAUGGUGGGGGUUGGAAAGUUUCGGCGGUUGGGGAUGGACUCGCGGCUUAUCAGCUUGUUGGUGGGGUAGUGGCUUACCAAGGCUUUGACGGGUAGCCGGCCUGAGAGGGUGACCGGCCACAAUGGGACUGAGAAACGGCCCAGACUCCUACGGGAGGAAGCAGUGGGGAAGAUUGCACAAUGGGCGGAAGCCUGAUGCAGCAACGCCGCGUGCGGGAUGACGGCCUUCGGGUUGUAAACCGCUUUCGCCUGUGACGAAGCGUGAGUGACGGUAAUGGGUAAAGAAGCACCGGCUAACUACGUG